CCUACGGGAGGCAGCAGUGGGGAAUAUUGCACAAUGGGCGGAAGCCUGAUGCAGCGACGCCGCGUGAGGGAUGACGGCCUUCGGGUUGUAAACCUCUUUCGCUAGGGAAGAAGCCCUUCGGGGUGACGGUACCUGGAUAAGAAGCACCGGCUAACUACGUGCCAGCAGCCGCGGUAAU
Molecule: ribosomal RNA, 178 nt
Filed under: uncultured bacterium
Lineage: Bacteria
Description: partial 16S ribosomal RNA
Rfam family: Bacterial small subunit ribosomal RNA
Source: RNAcentral